GGGCUGUUGGCGCAGUGGUAGCGUAUGUAAAUGGUACUGGCCUUUGCAUGAAUCACCUAACGAAUUCCCAGGCGUCCGCUUUGCACCUCUGAUACAUCGCCUCGUCGUGAUAUCACCAGAACCGUAAAAUGCGGAAGGUCGAGGUUUCGAUCACCUCAUAGUCCA
RNAcentral lists this transfer RNA (165 nucleotides) under Fulvia fulva CBS 131901. RNAcentral describes it as "tRNA-Und (NNN) (tRNA-Und-NNN-4-1)". Lineage: Eukaryota; Fungi; Ascomycota; Dothideomycetes; Mycosphaerellales; Mycosphaerellaceae. The record is from RNAcentral.